RNAcentral lists this ribosomal RNA (493 nucleotides) under uncultured bacterium. Its description in RNAcentral is "bacterial SSU rRNA". It matches the Rfam family "Bacterial small subunit ribosomal RNA", at positions 28 to 513 of the family's 1533-position model. The record is from RNAcentral.
GACGAACGCUGGCGGCGUGCCUAACACAUGCAAGUCUAACGAGAAAGGGGUAGCAAUAUCCUGAGUACAGUGGCGCACGGGUGAGUAACACGUAGGCAAUUUGCCUUCAGGACGGGGACAACCUCGAGAAAUCGGGGCUAAUACCCGAUAAUGCAGCGGCACCGCAUGGUUACAGUUGUUAAAGGCCCGCAAGGGCGCCCGGAGAUGAGCCUGCGUCCCAUUAGGUAGUUGGUGAGGUAACGGCCCACCAAGCCUACGAUGGGUAGCUGGUCUGAGAGGAUGAUCAGCCACACUGGAACUGAGACACGGACCAGACUCCUACGGGAGGCAGCAGUGAGGAAUAUUGCGCAAUGGCCGAAAGGCUGACGCAGCGACGCCGCGUGAAGGAUGAAGUCCGUUAGGAUGUAAACUUCUUUUGCAGGGGAAGAAUGUGGCGCCUUGGGCGCCAUUGACGGUACCCUGCGAAUAAGGGUCGGCUAACUACGUGCCAGCG